Hyaena hyaena (striped hyena) is the source of this 236-nucleotide long non-coding RNA. RefSeq lists it as uncharacterized. The transcript is spliced from 3 exons. The record is from RefSeq and is a predicted model, not a curated record. Lineage: Eukaryota; Metazoa; Chordata; Mammalia; Carnivora; Hyaenidae.
UCUUUCUGUUUCUUCAUUGUUGGUGUAUAAAAAUGCAACCGAUUUCUGUACGUUGACUUUGUUCCCUGCAACUUUGAUGAAUCUUGGAUCAGUUACAGUAGGCUUCUGAUGGAGUCUGUAGGGUUUUCUAUGUAGAGUAUCAUGUCGUCUGCGAAAAGUGAAACUUUGACUUCUUCAUUGCCGAUUUUGAUGACUUUUAUUUCCUUUUGUGGUCUGAUGGCUGAUGCUAAGACUUC